ACAUAUCCAAAGGACUUCUUAAAGUCCAUAAAAAUUCCAUUAAAACACCAUUAAAGCAUGAUGUACAAUCCUCUAAAGCACAACAUAAUUUGGUUUUCCUAUUCUACCCUCACUCACAAAACAAGGCGGAGAACAAAACCACGUUAUCAGCUCAUUAGGGUUUCUGUCUUUCACAUCCGCCCCAUUUCUUCUCCCUCUCUCUCACCAGGCGAUAACCCUUGAUCGAUGGAUUUCACUGCCGAAUUCACUGGAUCGACGGAUUUCACCUGCGAAUCCACAUCUCAGGGUUUUUUCUCCGGCUAUGACCCUAGAUCGAUGGUUUUUUCUGUCGAAUCCACAUCUCAGGGUUUCUUUCUCCAGCGAUGACCCUUGAGCGAUGGAUUUCACCGGCGUUUUCAAAUCUCAGGGUUUAUUUCUCCGGCGAUAACCC
Long non-coding RNA from Helianthus annuus (common sunflower), 430 nucleotides. RefSeq lists it as uncharacterized. The record is from RefSeq and is a predicted model, not a curated record. Lineage: Eukaryota; Viridiplantae; Streptophyta; Magnoliopsida; Asterales; Asteraceae. The transcript is spliced from 4 exons.